CGGCAGCUCAGGUCAAAGGAUCGCAGAGUGUGAGACUGAGGCUACUGAUUGCAUCUCUUCAGCCACAUCCUCUGGGCUGGCUGUUAGGGACCAGAAAGGAAGCAGCCCUGGGCCCUAUCCAGAUGCCUCAGGGGUUGGGGUGAAGACUCGUCCACCAAAAGUGGAAGAAGCCACAGCUGACUGCUUCAGGAGGCAUGCCCCCAUAACCUCAGGCAGACGCUUCACUUCUCUGGCCUGUUUCUGCCUCAAACUGUGUCCGGAAUUGGUGGGUUCUUGGUCUCACUGACUUCAAGAAUGAAGCCGUGGACCCUCGCGGUGAGUGUUACAGUUCUUAAAGGCGGCGUGUCCGGAGUUUGUUCCUUCUGAUGUUCGGAUGUGUUCGGAGUUUCUUCCUUCUGGUGGGGUUCGUGGUCUUCCCGGCUCAGGAGUGAAGCUGCGAACCUUCGUGGUGAGUGUUACAGCUCUUAAGGCGGCGCGUCUGGAGUUGUUCGCUCCUCCUGGUGGGUUGGUGGUCUCGCUGGCUUUAGGAGUGAAGCUGCAGACCUUCCCCGUGAGUGUUACAGCUCAUAAAGGCAGUGUGGACCCAAAGAGUGAGCAGCAGCAAGAUUUAUUGCAAAGAGCAAAAGAACAAAUUUUCCACAGUAUGUAAGGAGACCCCAGAGGAUUGCCACUGC
This 674-nucleotide long non-coding RNA is filed under the name Pan troglodytes (chimpanzee). RNAcentral's name for it is "long non-coding RNA NONPTRT000160". The record is from RNAcentral. Lineage: Eukaryota; Metazoa; Chordata; Mammalia; Primates; Hominidae.